This 751-nucleotide ribosomal RNA is filed under the name Aeromicrobium tamlense. RNAcentral's name for it is "bacterial SSU rRNA". It matches the Rfam family "Bacterial small subunit ribosomal RNA", at positions 56 to 822 of the family's 1533-position model. The record is from RNAcentral. Lineage: Bacteria; Bacillati; Actinomycetota; Actinomycetes; Propionibacteriales; Nocardioidaceae.
UGCAGUCGAGCGGUAAGGCCCCUUCGGGGGUACACGAGCGGCGAACGGGUGAGUAACACGUGAGUAACCUGCCCCAUUCUUUGGAAUAACCAGUGGAAACGCUGGCUAAUGCCGAAUAUGACCAUCGAAGGCAUCUUCUGGUGGUGGAAAGCUCCGGCGGAGUGGGAUGGACUCGCGGCCUAUCAGCUUGUUGGUGAGGUAAUGGCUCACCAAGGCGACGACGGGUAGCCGGCCUGAGAGGGUGACCGGCCACACUGGGACUGAGACACGGCCCAGACUCCUACGGGAGGCAGCAGUGGGGAAUAUUGGACAAUGGGCGAAAGCCUGAUCCAGCAACGCCGCGUGAGGGAUGACGGCCUUCGGGUUGUAAACCUCUUUCAGCAGGGACGAAGCGAAAGUGACGGUACCUGCAGAAGAAGGACCGGCCAACUACGUGCCAGCAGCCGCGGUAAUACGUAGGGUCCGAGCGUUGUCCGGAAUUAUUGGGCGUAAAGGGCUCGUAGGCGGUUUGUCGCGUCGGGAGUGAAAACUCAGGGCUCAACCCUGAGCGUGCUUACGAUACGGGCAAACUAGAGGUAUGCAGGGGAGAACGGAAUUCCUGGUGUAGCGGUGGAAUGCGCAGAUAUCAGGAGGAACACCGGUGGCGAAGGCGGUUCUCUGGGCAUUACCUGACGCUGAGGAGCGAAAGCAUGGGGAGCGAACAGGAUUAGAUACCCUGGUAGUCCAUGCCGUAAACGUUGGGCGCUAGGUG